Molecule: long non-coding RNA, 603 nt
Organism: Nematostella vectensis (starlet sea anemone)
Lineage: Eukaryota; Metazoa; Cnidaria; Anthozoa; Actiniaria; Edwardsiidae
Exons: 2
Source: RefSeq, a predicted model, not a curated record
GCACCUAGUACCAAUAAAGGUAACAGCACCUAGUACCAGUGAAGGUAACAGCACCUAGUACCAGUGAGGGUAACAGCACCUAGUACCAGCGAGGGUAACAGCACCUAGUACCAGUGAGGGUAACAGCACCUAGAACCAGUAAAGGUAAUGGCACCUAGUACCAGUGAGGGUAACAGCACCUAGUACCAGUGAAGGUUACGGCACCCAGUACCAGUGAAGGUAACAGCACCUAGUACCAGUGAAGGUAACAGCACCUAGUACCAGUAAAGGUAACGGCACCUAGUACCAGUGAAGGUAACAGCACCCAGUACCAGUGAAGGUAACGGCACCUAGUACCAGUGAGGGUAACAGCACCUAGUACCAGUGACGGUAAUGGCACCUAGUACCAGUGAAGGUAACGGCACCUAGUACCAGUGAGGGUAACAGCACCCAGUACCAGUGACUAUAACACCACAUAAUACCUGUUGAGUUUACUACACAAACUAGAAUAGUACUUUGUUCCUUGAAGAUGCUAAAUGGGUGCAUAGUGCAGUUGCUUAAAAUAAUGCAAUUCUCUGCAAGUGUUAUACCAGUUGCUGGACUGAACUAAAAAAAAAACCCAAA